Maniola jurtina (meadow brown) is the source of this 242-nucleotide long non-coding RNA. RefSeq lists it as uncharacterized. The transcript is spliced from 3 exons. The record is from RefSeq and is a predicted model, not a curated record. NCBI's taxonomy places the organism in Eukaryota, Metazoa, Arthropoda, Insecta, Lepidoptera, Nymphalidae.
ACGGACAUAGGCUACUUUUUAUCCCGGGAAAUCAAAGAGUUCCCGCGGAAUUCCUAAAGACCCGUCUACUUAACCGAUUUGUAUGAAAUUUGGUACCGAAGUAGCUUGCGUCCCUGUAAUCGAAGUAGGCAACGUUUUAUCCUGAAAAACCAAACAGUUCCCACGGGAUCUAUAAAAAUCUAAAUCCACGCGGACGAAGUCGUGGGCAUCCUCUAGUAGGAAAUAAUCGAUCUGUUUCUAUG